AACAAUUUUAUAAAAUCAAUUUAAAGAAAAUUAUUUUCGUGCUAAACUCAGCCAAACACUUAUAGCUUUUAACAAAAAUUAAAAUUUUCAAUUCAAAAUUUAAUUAUAUAAAAAUUACUUUUUAAAAUCUAGACCAAACAGCUCUAUAGUAAUGCAAAACGAUGAUAUGAAAGAGCCAGAAAAACAUAACACUUAGGGUGUGUUUGGUUCGGGUUAUCCUAGUAGGAUUACAGGCAAUCCUGUCGGCAUUAUUGUGUUUGGUUCAUCCGAUUUGUAAUCUUGUCGGUAAUAUAGCAUUACAAAUGGUACAGAAUUACACCAAAAAUAUUACCGAAAGGGGGGCUGUGUAUCUUGGAUUACUGAAAGCCCGUAAUAUUGCAUAUUAUGUAAAAUGACAAUUUUACCUCUUUAACGUCCGAAACUCUUUCAAUACGUCACUUUAAAAUUUUAAUUUUAAUUUUGAAUUGUCAACUUUCAAAUUUUAAAUUUUAAAUUUUAAUUUUAAUUUUAAUUUUAAUUUUCAAAUUUUAAUUUUUAAAUUUUAAAUUUUAAAUUUUUUAACUUCAAAUUUAAAUUUUAAAUUUUAAAUUUUAAAUUUGUAUUUUAAAUUCUAAAAUUUUAAAUUUAAAUUUAUAUUUAUAUUUAUAUUUUAGAUUUUAAAAUUAUAAAUUUCAUAUUUAUAUUUUAAAUUAAAAUAUUAAAUUUUAUAAUUUUAAAAUUUAAAAUUUAAAAAAUUUAAAUUAUUUAAAAUAAAAUUUAGUAAAAAAAUAUUAUUUGUAAAUAGUAAAAAAAUGUUUGCGGAAUAUGGCUAAGAGCAAUUUUGUAAUAGACUAUAAUUUAUUGUGUAGAUUACUGAAUUUUAUAAAUAAAACCAAACAUAAUAAUGCUAUAAAUACUGCAAUCCAUGUCACGCUCCGGAUUCCUCGUUUCUCCGAGCACGCUAACAGACCCACCGUAUACAUAGAAAUUUUUCCUAUAUACGAAGCGAAGCUGUACUUGUACCUGUAAUCAUACAACACUAUAACCAGUAGUAUAGAGCUGCUAGAAAGGAAUAAAAUAUAUAUAAUAACAAUGGUUUAAUACAUACAUAGCAUCCGGGUACAAAAAAAUACUCGCUCCAAUGAGGUACAACAUCAGUAUGUAAAGAACCAAAACUGGUACUCCUCUAGCUCUGUGACUCGUCUGGAAUAGCUCUAACUCGCAACGUCCUUGCCACGAUCAGUAUUAGCAGUAGCAGCAGCCGCAACCGAAUGCUCUACAAAAGAUCCACAACUGGGCGUGAGAACUACUGCAAAAAGAAGUA
RNAcentral lists this long non-coding RNA (1303 nucleotides) under Ananas comosus (pineapple). RNAcentral describes it as "long non-coding RNA (ACOM_LNC040040)". The record is from RNAcentral. Lineage: Eukaryota; Viridiplantae; Streptophyta; Magnoliopsida; Poales; Bromeliaceae.